CCUGGAGGAAGGUGGGGAUGACGUCAAAUCAUCAUGCCCCUUAUGCUUAGGGCUACACACGUGCUACAAUGGGUAGUACAGAGGGUUGCCAAGCCGUAAGGUGGGGCUAAUCCCUUAAAGCUACUCUUAGUUCGGAUUGUAGGCUGAAACUCGCCUACAUGAAGCUGGAGUUACUAGUAAUCGCAGAUCAGAAUGCUGCGGUGAAUGCGUUCCCGGGUCUUGUACACACCGC
RNAcentral lists this ribosomal RNA (232 nucleotides) under Clostridioides difficile. RNAcentral describes it as "partial 16S ribosomal RNA". It matches the Rfam family "Bacterial small subunit ribosomal RNA", at positions 1162 to 1393 of the family's 1533-position model. Lineage: Bacteria; Bacillati; Bacillota; Clostridia; Peptostreptococcales; Peptostreptococcaceae. The record is from RNAcentral.